GAUUAACGCUGGCGGCGUGCCUAACACAUGCAAGUCGAACGAGGUAGCAAUACCUAGUGGCAGACGGGUGAGUAACGCGUGGUCAACCUACCGUUGAGUGGGGGAUAACUAGCCGAAAGGUUAGCUAAUACCGCAUACGUCUCCGAGUGGCAUCACUUGGCGAUAAAAGGAGCAAUCCGCUCGAUGACGGGACCGCGUCCCAUUAGUCUAGAUGGUGGGGUAACGGCCUACCANGGCACCGAUGGGUAGCUGGUUUGAGAGAGCGACCAGCCACACUGGGACUGAGAAACGGCCCAGACUCCUACGGGAGGCAGCAGUGAGGAAUUUUCCGCAAUGGGCGCAAGCCUGACGGAGCGACGCCGCGUGUGGGAAGAAGGCCUUC
RNAcentral lists this ribosomal RNA (382 nucleotides) under uncultured bacterium. RNAcentral describes it as "bacterial SSU rRNA". It matches the Rfam family "Bacterial small subunit ribosomal RNA", at positions 28 to 419 of the family's 1533-position model. The record is from RNAcentral.